AUUGAACGCUGGCGGCAGGCUUAACACAUGCAAGUCGAGCGGGGUGAUGGUGCUUGCACUAUCACUUAGCGGCGGACGGGUGAGUAAUGCUUAGGAAUCUGCCUAUUAGUGGGGGACAACAUCUCGAAAGGGAUGCUAAUACCGCAUACGUCCUACGGGAGAAAGCAGGGGAUCACUUGUGACCUUGCGCUAAUAGAUGAGCCUAAGUCGGAUUAGCUAGUUGGUGUGGUAAAGGCCUACCAAGGCGACGAUCUGUAGCGGGUCUGAGAGGAUGAUCCGCCACACUGGGAAUGAGACACGGCCCAGACUCCUACGGGAGGCAGCAGUGGGGAAUAUUGGACAAUGGGGGGAACCCUGAUCCAGCCAUGCCGCGUGUGUGAAGAAGGCCUUAUGGUUGUAAAGCACUUUAAGCGAGGAGGAGGCUCUUUUGGUUAAUACCCAAGAUGAGUGGACGUUACUCGCAGAAUAAGCACCGGCUAACUCUGUGCCAGCCGCCGCGGUAA
RNAcentral lists this ribosomal RNA (503 nucleotides) under uncultured bacterium. RNAcentral's name for it is "partial 16S ribosomal RNA". It matches the Rfam family "Bacterial small subunit ribosomal RNA", at positions 30 to 523 of the family's 1533-position model. The record is from RNAcentral.